RNAcentral lists this small RNA (28 nucleotides) under Bombyx mori (domestic silkworm). Its description in RNAcentral is "ovarian small RNA-19723". Lineage: Eukaryota; Metazoa; Arthropoda; Insecta; Lepidoptera; Bombycidae. The record is from RNAcentral.
UAAUGAGAAUUCUUGGUGACUAUUUCUG